UUCUAAUCAACAUCAAAUAGAUGAUGUAGUUGAAAAAAAAAUGUCUUAUAACUUAUGAGCAAAUUUUCUGUGGCAGAAAAAAGAAAUUGUAUUGACCAGAACAUUUACGCGGUGAUCGGAAAAAGCAGUCCAAACUCCAAAUCAAUGUCAAUGUUCACAUUCACCUAUGAAAUCAAAGUGAAAAGUCAUUGCUAGUCAAAGUUAAAUAACAAACAAAUCAAAGGGAGAGGCAUCAAUAUGCAAAUGUCUCAAAAAGCCACAAUAUGCAAAUGAAAAAGAAGUGAAGGUUCGGACAAAUGUACAACACAGGUUCUUGGAAUCCCUUGCAGAUUUGGUGAUCGGUGUCGAGCUAAUUCAUGUAAAAUCAUAAUUAAUUCAAAAGAUUACCAUUUACUUUGCUCUCUUUCCUUCAGCAUCUCCUCAACCAAACAAAGGAAAGGAAAAACUUGAGUUUCCUUCUUCUCUUCCCUCAUCCAUUCCUCAAAUUCUCCAUUUCGUCUGUAUUCUUUCCUUCAAAUUAGAGAUCAAAGUUUAAAAUCCUUGACUGAAUCAUUAUUCAACUCUAUUCAACUAAAUUGGCAUCAAAGAAGAAUCUAGCUUGCACUUGAGACUAAGCCUUUAAAAAAAAUAAGUGAAAAUUCAAAAGCUAGAUUGAACUUGCAAAUUGGUUUCAAUUUAUGUAUCAGACCACUUGGAUUCGAUGUAGUUGCUAUAUGAGCGCAACAACAAAAAUGAGUUAACUCACAAGUAGUCCACAUUGAAUUGAGACUAAUCCCAAAGUUCAUUGACAUGUACUUCAAUAUUACAUCACGUGUGUUAUUAGUUUACAAUACAAUACAUCACAUUCAAGAAAUCUGUCUUUCUUAUUUAAUAAUUGACCUGGACUUGAUAGUUUUGGCAAAGGGAGGCAGCAAGCUUGAGGCAACAACUACAGUACUUGCAAGACUACCACAGGUACUCAAAACCUCCACUAAUUCAUUGCUAAAACACUCUCAAAAAUAUUUCAACUUGUAGAUUUAAUGCAAGAAGUUAACUAAUUUUGUAGAUAAUACAAUACUUUUAUCUUUCUAAAUUUGCUAAGAAUUACAUAAAUGAAUCAUGCCCCAACAUCAAAAUUUUUUAGUAGUAACAAAUGGAUUACUGUACUCAUUUUAGAACUAGAUUUCAAUGUUCAAUUAUACUUCCCUUCCUUAAAGAUACAAGUAUUGGGCUAAACAAGGCCAGGUCUAUGAUUUAUUUUCAACAGGGAUAAGGUGAUAUGUAAUAUUAAAUAUACCAAAUACUCUACCACAAUCACAAACUAUCAAAAAUCAAAGAAAAGAAUUGCUCACCUGAAUAUGUUUUAACUUUGCAAGAAAGAAACUGUGCUCCAUUCCAACCCCUUGUUUCUUUUUCUUUUUUUUUUCAUAGAUUUACAUGUCUUUGUUCUUUUUUCUACUGAAUCUUCUUUUACUUUCGUUAUGGUGUACAACUUUUUUUAAUGGAAAGAACAAGUCAGGUGUUGUUCUGUAGUUUUUUAAAGCUUUGAAAAGUCCCAUAUCAGUCUUUCCUAUUUUACAUGUCAUAACAGCCUAUUAAUUUGCAAAGUACCUAUUAGAAUACUGAUUAUUUUCAAUGUUAAUAAUGAAGCAAUAUGUAUUUUUAUCAUUUUUUCAAUUUAAAUGGCGGCAAAAUAUAAUCUUUAAACUUUUAAACUAUUUUUAUAGUAUGACCAAAGAGACAUUAGGAUUUCAGUGGGGCCAAAUUCUAAAUUUGAAGUCUUCUCUAGACUUUAGUAAUCAAUAACAUUGGACAUGCAUUAGCUUAAAUAACAUCUGACUCAGGCAAUUGAUGGGAGAAGAACUAUCUGGUUUAAGUGUUAAGGAUCUACAGCACCUGGAAAACCAACUUGAAGGGAGCUUGAAAGGUGUCCGCACAAAAAAGGUAUGAUAGCUUCAGAUUUGGAUGAAAUUAUGCCCAUGAUAUUUAAGAUCAGAGAUGAUAAUAUUUACUGCAACUGCUCCUAUGUUGUUGUUCUUCCUCUAGGAACAAAUCCUAACAGACGAAAUCAAAGAGCUAAACCACAAGGUUUCUUUGAAAGUUCUGCCGCAGAUUUUCUUUUUCCAGAUUUACAUUCAUGGAUAUUUUUUGGUCAAGUAACUUCAAUUUAUUGAAUUGCAGGGACACCUUAUUCAUCAGGAGAAUCUAGAACUGUAUAAGAAAGUAGACCUCAUCCACCAACAAAAUACUGAACUUCAAAAGAAGGUAGUUGCCUAGAUAAUUUGAUAAAUAUCCCUUAUUCACCUCAUCCUUCCUCCUUUUACCUUUAUUAAUAAAAUGGAAGUUUACCACCAAGCCAGUACAAUGCUCUUGAAAUUUAACCAAAUGAAAAGUUUUCCUCCUGAUACUCUAAACAGCACAAUUGUUGGGUUUCAGAUUUAUGGAACAAGAGAAGCAAAUGAAGCUAGUAGAAUCUCCCACCCAAAUUAUACUUUCAACAAUGGAUAUGAUUUGCACGCACCUGUUCGUCUGCAGUUAAGCCAGCCCCAACCUCCUAAGAAUAAUGCACCAGCAAAAUCAAUGAAGUUGGGGUAAUUCUUCCACUCAAUACUGUUUUAAAAACUACAGCAAACAAAACCAGAAAGCAAACUAUUUCAAUAUCAAUCUAAAAUAAAUUCUUUAAAAAAAAACAGAUUACAGUUGCAUUAGAAAACUGGUCAGACAAUUAUGGAUGGACGUCAUCACUACCCGAUCAACAACUUGGGCUAUGGUUAGAGCAAAAGCUUCUACCAGUGAGUUUUCAUAUUCGAGCUAUUAGAUAAAGUAUAUCCAGCAUAAAAAAAAAAAGAAGAAGAAGAAGAAGAUUUCAUAUGAAAUAUUUAAUGAAAAAGAAAAACACUUUAGAAAUGCUGUAAAAUGAACAGAGAAACAAGUUAUCUGAUGUGACUUCACAUAAUUAUUAGAAUGCAUUGUUUUGUGUCUGAUGUUACUCAGCUGCCUGGUGAACUUUUGUGUUCAACGAGACUUCCUUACCGAGUGCAAAUUGCAACUUUAGUCCUUUGUGUUAUUGAAUAAAGAAAGUAUCUUACUUUUUUCUUCUAAAUAACUCCCCAUCCUUGAUGAAAGAAAAACAUAAAAACUGAAAAUUAAAAAAGGGGGGGGGGAAUCAAAUGAACUGAUAACUCAGUAUGCAUAAUUAACAGGGUACCUAACAGGAUAACAAGCAACUUUAUUUCACGAUGAGAAAGGACUUGAGUGAUUCACGUUACUAAAAAUUUGCUUUAGUUACAUAGGAUGGCCAAGAUUUUGUUGGCAGACAACCUUAGGUAUAGUCACCAUUUAGCCAUGUGCUCCUUUACUGCUCAAUACCUAUACUUCCAUCAACUCUCUGAAUGACACAAGAUUAACUACAAAGGGUAUAUAACAGUUUCAUCUUCAUCAGUAAUUGUAUUGAUUAUAUUAGACAGAAUCAAAACGUAUCUGAAAUCAAGUAUUUCUUAGUAAUAAAUGUCAUGAAAAAUUCAUAUAAUUACAGAGUAUGUGAAAAAAUAUUGUAGUCAACCGAAGACAUUCAUGCAUACAUCAAACAUAGCAUAAUAAGAACUGCUUAUCAUAAUCCAGCAGCAUAAGAAAAAUUAUAUUGAUCAUAGGAGGCUGGGAAAGAAGUUUUAACCAUACAGCUUGCAUAUCCUAGCAUCAUAAUAUCCUCAGAGGAAUAGGAUCUAAAAGAAAUGUGGCUGUUCAAGACAUUCGAAACUCCAUAUAAAUAAUAGUAUAAUCAAUUCCCAGCAGCCAGGUAAAGACAUUCUCAUGCUCAAUGCAGAAGUGGCAAACCCUAGAAUUUUUCAAUGUUUUUUAAAGGUACAGGCACUCUUCUCCUGAAUUCAAUGUGUG
This 3873-nucleotide long non-coding RNA is filed under the name Gossypium barbadense (sea-island cotton). Its description in RNAcentral is "long non-coding RNA (GBAR_LNC011089)". The record is from RNAcentral. Lineage: Eukaryota; Viridiplantae; Streptophyta; Magnoliopsida; Malvales; Malvaceae.